UAGGGAAUCUUCGGCAAUGGGGGCAACCCUGACCGAGCAACGCCGCGUGAGUGAAGAAGGUUUUCGGAUCGUAAAGCUCUGUUGUAAGAGAAGAACGUGUGUGAGAGUGGAAAGUUCACACAGUGACGGUAACUUACCAGAAAGGGACGGCUAACUACGUGCCAGCAGCCGCGGUAAUACGUAGGUCCCGAGCGUUGUCCGGAUUUAUUGGGCGUAAAGCGAGCGCAGGCGGUUUAAUAAGUCUGAAGUUAAAGGCAGUGGCUUAACCAUUGUUCGCUUUGGAAACUGUUAAACUUGAGUGCAGAAGGGGAGAGUGGAAUUCCAUGUGUGGCGGUGAAAUGCGUAGAUAUAUGGAGGAACACCGGUGGCGAAAGCGGCUCUCUGGUCUGUAACUGACGCUGAGGCUCGAAAGCGUGGGGAGCAAACAGG
This 429-nucleotide ribosomal RNA is filed under the name bacterium. Its description in RNAcentral is "partial 16S ribosomal RNA". It matches the Rfam family "Bacterial small subunit ribosomal RNA", at positions 355 to 776 of the family's 1533-position model. The record is from RNAcentral.